This 312-nucleotide unclassified non-coding RNA is filed under the name Hevea brasiliensis (rubber tree). Lineage: Eukaryota; Viridiplantae; Streptophyta; Magnoliopsida; Malpighiales; Euphorbiaceae. The record is from RNAcentral.
CGGCUGUAGCUGAUGUUACCAGAUGUUUCAAUGCUUUGCAAAAACCAACUUCUAAAGUUGUUAGAUUUCGGAAAGAUGCAGAGGAUGGUGUUAUAUUGAUCAAAUUAGCGCAACCCCGUACUGUCAUAGUUUCUACAUAUUCAAGAACAAUGUCCAGCCGAGGGUGUGGCUUCCAGAUAUGCUCCAGAUUUUGAAGGUGAUAAAGAUUUAAGUUUCUUAUCAGUGGUAGUGUGGUGCCAUCAUCUUCUUUUUCACCAUCAUCAAGUCCAUUUCGUAAUAACUCUUUGAGGGAAGAUUCUUGCACAAAUAGAC